AGAUGAAUGACUGAGAUGGUUAAAGUAUCAAUUUUGAAAAUUGACAAUAAAAUUUAUUUUUAGCGUAGGUUCGAAUCCUACUUCAUCUA
RNAcentral lists this transfer RNA (89 nucleotides) under Choreocolax polysiphoniae. Its description in RNAcentral is "tRNA-Ser". It matches the Rfam family "tRNA". Rfam says of the family: Transfer RNA (tRNA) molecules are approximately 80 nucleotides in length. Their secondary structure includes four short double-helical elements and three loops (D, anti-codon, and T loops). Lineage: Eukaryota; Rhodophyta; Florideophyceae; Gigartinales; Choreocolacaceae. The record is from RNAcentral.